GUCAGGGCUGGGUUGUGUGGAGCUACAGGAGGACAAGCCCUGCUUCCCAUGACCUGCUGGGACUGGAGCAGGGCAGCCUGGCUUCCCAACCAUGGAGUUAUUUCAGCUCCUGCACAUCCUGGUAACUUACCGAGCGUUGGGGCACACUGACAAACUGACGUCUGUCUGUCUAUCUGCAUCAGGUAUAGAAACUUGAAAACAGAGAAAUAAAAUCACUUUCCA
RNAcentral lists this long non-coding RNA (222 nucleotides) under Numida meleagris (helmeted guineafowl). RNAcentral describes it as "lncRNA (ENSNMEG00000020691.1)". The record is from RNAcentral. Lineage: Eukaryota; Metazoa; Chordata; Aves; Galliformes; Numididae.